Molecule: ribosomal RNA, 411 nt
Filed under: uncultured bacterium
Lineage: Bacteria
Description: bacterial SSU rRNA
Rfam family: Bacterial small subunit ribosomal RNA
Source: RNAcentral
AUUGAACGCUGGCGGCGUGCCUAACACAUGCAAGUCGAGCGGUAACAGGUGUAGCAAUACAUGCUGACGAGCGGCGAACGGGUGAGUAAUGCUUCGGAAUCUGCCCAUGUAGUGGGGAAUAACUAGCCGAAAGGUUAGCUAAUACCGCAUACGACCUACGGGUGAAAGCAGGGGAUCGCAAGACCUUGCGCUAUUGGAUGAGCCGAAGUCGGAUAGCUUGUUGGUGAGGUAACGGCUCACCAAGGCGACAAUCCGUAGCUGGUCCGAGAGGACGACCAGCCACACUGGGACUGAGACACGGCCCAGACUCCUACGGGAGGCAGCAGUGGGGAAUAUUGGACAAUGGGGCAACCCUGAUCCAGCGACGCCGCGUGUGUGAAGAAGGCCUGCGGGUUGUAAAGCACUUUUAGU